GCCCAAUCCCUCCCCCACUAAAAUACAGUUUACUUAAUAAAUAAAACAUUUACCUAAAAUAAAGUACAGGAGAUAGAAAUUUAUAUUAGGAGCUUUAGAGACAGUACUUUAAGGGAAAGAUGAAAGAACAAAUUUAUAGUAUCAAAAAGCAAAGAUUAACUCUUUUACGUUUUGCAUAAUGAUUUAACCAGAAAAUGCUUGACAAAAAGAAUUUAAGCCAAACACCCCGAAACCAGAUGAGCUACUUAUGAGCAGCCAAUAAGAGCCCAUCCAUCUAUGUUGCAAAAUAGUGGAACGACUUAUAAGUAGAGGUGAAAAGCCUACCGAGCCUGGUAAUAGCUGGUUGUCCAGAUUAGAAUUUUAGUUCUACUUUAAAUUUACCUAAAGCACAAGCAAGCCAAAUGUAAAUUUAAAUGUUAAUCUAAAGAGGGAUAGCUCUUUCAAGUUAAGGAAUAAACCUUAAUUAGAGAGUAAACCUAUUAACCUCCAUAGUUGGCCUAAAAGCAGCCAUCAAUUAAAAAAGCAUCAAAGCUUAACCUAAUUAUCAAAACUUAAUACCUAACUUUCAAUAAUCUCCUAAGCCAACACUGGACUAAUCUAUUUUCCUAAUAGAAGAAAUUAUGUUAAAAUGAGUAACAAGAAAACAUUCUCCCUGCAUAAACUUAUGUCAGAUCGAAUAAUUCACUGAUAGUUAACAACAUCAUAAUAUUAAAUAAAUCAUAAAACCAUUAUUAACAACACUGCUAACCCAACACUGGUAUGCACUAAGGGAAAGAUUAAAAAAAGUAAAAGGAACUCCGCAAACGCUAACCCCGCCUGUUUACCAAAAACAUCACCCUUCCCGUGAAGAGGCGGGAAUUUCCUAAUAAGACGAGAAGACCCUAUGGAGCUUAUAUUUAAUAGUCUCACAGCCUUGACAUUAUCUAAGGAAUCAAAACUAUUGUUCAUAGACUAGAAAUUUUGGUUGUGGUGACCUUGGAGUACAAAUAAACCUCUGAAUGAUAAUAAUCUAAACACAACACCUCCAAAUUAUAACUCAUUAAUUGACCCAAAUUAUUGAUCAAUGGAACAAGUUACCCUAGGGAUAACAGCGCAAUCCUACUCUAGAGUCCAUAUGGACAGUUAGGGUUUACGACCUGGAUGUUGGAUCAGGACAUCCAAAUGGUGUAACCGCUAUUAAUUGUUUGUUUGUUCAACGAUUAAAGUCCUACGUGAUCUGAGUUCAGACAGAGAAAUCCAGGUCGGUUUCUAUCUAUUACUAUAUUUCUCCCAGUACAAAAGGACAAGAGAAAUAAGGCCAAUUAAACAUUAACGCUAAAUAAAUAGAUGAAAUAAUCUAAAUCUGGUAAACUAUUCUAAACAACCCGCUCUAGAACAGGGCUUGUUAAGAUGGCAGAGCCUGGUAAUUGCAUAAGACUUAAAACUUUAUUUCAGAGGUUCAACUCCUCUUCUUAACAUUAAUGUUUAUAAUUAAUCUCCUCCUUCUAAUUGCUCCAAUCCUAGUAGCUAUAGCUUUUCUAACCCUCAUCGAAAGAAAAAUACUAGGAUAUAUACAACUCCGUAAAGGCCCUAAUGUCGUUGGACCUUACGGCUUACUUCAACCAUUCGAUGAUGCAAUAAAACUAUUUAUUAAAGAACCCAUAAAACCCUUAACGUCAUCAAUUAUAUUAUUUUUUAUUGCCCCUACUCUUGCCCUAACACUAGCAUUUUCCAUGUGAAUCCCCUACCCAUACCCCAAACUCUCAUUAAUAUAAACAUAGGAGUCCUAUUUAUCCUCGCCACCUCAAGCUUAGCUGUAUAUGCAAUUCUAUGAUGAGGCUGAGCCUCCAACUCUAAAUAUGCUUUAAUUGGAGCAUUACAAGCCGUAGCACAAACUAUUUCAUAUGAAGUAACGCUAGCAAUUAUUCUUCUCUCAGUACUUCUAAUAAAUGGGUCCUUUACUCUAUAUACCCUUAUUACCACCCAACAAUUUACAUGACUUCUACUUCCAACAUGACCUCUAGCAAUAAUAUAGUUUAUUUCAACAUUAGCAGCAACUAAUCGAGCUCCAUUUGACCUAACAGAAGGAGAGUCAGAACUUGUAUCAGGAUUUAAUGUUGAAUAUGCAGCCGGUCCCUUCGCCUUAUUUUUUAUAGCUGAAUACACUAACAUCAUUAUAAUAAACGCAUUAACAGUAACCCUUUUCAUGGGAGCCCUACUCAACCUCGCUUUCCCUGAAACUUUUACACUCAACUUUACCCUAAAAACACUCAUUUUAACUUCCGCUUUUUUAUGAAUCUGAGGAUCCUACCCUCGAUUCCAUUAUGACCAACUUAUACACCUUUUAUUAUUAAGUAUAUUCCUCCUCUAAACUUG
Molecule: long non-coding RNA, 2355 nt
Filed under: Marmota monax (woodchuck)
Lineage: Eukaryota; Metazoa; Chordata; Mammalia; Rodentia; Sciuridae
Rfam family: tRNA (bases 1384-1457)
Source: RNAcentral